This 1425-nucleotide long non-coding RNA is filed under the name Lynx canadensis (Canada lynx). RNAcentral's name for it is "lncRNA (ENSLCNG00005008839.1)". The record is from RNAcentral. Lineage: Eukaryota; Metazoa; Chordata; Mammalia; Carnivora; Felidae.
AACAGCAUAAAAAUUUUUCAUUGGACAAUAUAUUCCACACAUUUGUUUUGGCGGGAAAAGUGCGAUCACCAUACUUACACGAGGGCAAAGGGGACACUGAAAAGUACAGACAGGUCAACAAAACAAACCUAUGUCGCUGGGAACUUUAUGCCUACAUAGUAUUUGUCCAUAUUCUAUCUGAAUAAAUUCGCAUUUAUGCAACCACAUGAAUACAAUAGCCAAAUGGAUCAGAAUAAAACUACAGGGACCCAGACAAAACCCCGGGACCACAUUCUGCAACCAUCAGCUAGAUCCAAAAGACUGAGAUUCAAACACCAAGCAUACCCUCAGUCUAAGAGGCAUCUGUGCCAAAACAGAAGAUCAAAUUUAGGUAUAAAAUAUAUCCCUGGUGGAAUCUGGAAGGCCCGUAAGAACAAUUCAUUGUCCCUGCAGCAGAACGUCACCGAAAAUCCUUUCUUACACUCAGCAGAGCACCUGCAACAGCUGAGAAGCUGGCCAAAUUCAACAGCCAUCAGGGCACAGAAGGCAUGCUCCCUUGGCAACAAGGCUGGGCUCGGAGUGCAAAACACCUUUCUAUUCCUACUGGGUUGAAAAUCACUGCCAAACCCGCCCUUUAACCAGAAAGGGCCAGUGAUAACUCAGUUUAUAAUGUGAACAAACCAUCUACCUGCAGUGUUCUGAACCUUUUGGAAAGAAUGCAGGAUUGUGAGGAAAGGGGGGGAGAAAAUGAACGAAUGAAUGAAUCAAUGAAUCAAUGAAUAGUGGCUUGGUCUUCCAAAUCUGCUUCACAUUCUCAUAUUCCCAAUACCCAUUUCCCGCAAAUACAUCCCGGGUCCAGGAAGAAAGUCUUUCAGCAUCUGCCUUUAAUUUGGCCCUUCUACCCUCCUCCUUCCUCCCCCCUCCUUUUCUCCUCUCCCCUCCUCCCAGCUCUUAUCCCACAAGGAAUAGGGAGGAACGAAACACACACACGCGCGCGUGCGCGCGCACACACACACACACACACACACACACACACACGGCUCCCUGUGAACAAAUGGAGAAGAGAUCAGAGAGGAAAGGAGAAGAGAAUGCGGAGGUGCACCAAACAGGAGGAAAGGGCAGUUCGCACAACGGGGCACAAAGAGAAGCCAAGAUGGCUGUCCCCGAGCUCCAGCAGGCAGGGCUGUUUCUGAUUAGGAAUCUGAUUUUCACCGAAGCUUUCUACAAAAACCAAGACUUAAGACUUCUCCAGUAGUGUGGUAAAUGCCUAGAGCUAAGAUCUGGGAGACCAAGAGAACAGUCUUGAUGGCCAUGAAGUAGCCACGUGGCUAGGAAUAAAUCAUGUAACCUUUCUGGGUCUCUGUUUUUCACUGGCAAAACAUGGGGGGGGGGGGCGGGGGGUAUGGCAGACUCAGUAAGAUUACUCCCAGCACCACUACCCCCUCC